AUGGCGACCGGCGCACGGGUGAGUAACACGUAUCCAACCUGCCGAUGACUCGGGGAUAGCCUUUCGAAAGAAAGAUUAAUACCCGAUGGCAUAGUUCUUCCGCAUGGUGGAACUAUUAAAGAAUUUCGGUCAUCGAUGGGGAUGCGUUCCAUUAGGUUGUUGGCGGGGUAACGGCCCAUCAAGCCUUCGAUGGAUAGGGGUUCUGAGAGGAAGGUCCCCCACAUUGGAACUGAGACACGGUCCAAACUCCUACGGGAGGCAGCAUUG
Molecule: ribosomal RNA, 267 nt
Filed under: uncultured bacterium
Lineage: Bacteria
Description: partial 16S ribosomal RNA
Rfam family: Bacterial small subunit ribosomal RNA
Source: RNAcentral